Molecule: ribosomal RNA, 224 nt
Filed under: uncultured bacterium
Lineage: Bacteria
Description: partial 16S ribosomal RNA
Rfam family: Bacterial small subunit ribosomal RNA
Source: RNAcentral
UACCUUACUCGGGGAUAGCCUUUCGAAAGAAAGAUUAAUACCCGAUGGCAUAGUUCUUCCGCAUGGUGGAACUAUUAAAGAAUUUCGGUCAUCGAUGGGGAUGCGUUCCAUUAGGUUGUUGGCGGGGUAACGGCCCACCAAGCCUUCGAUGGAUAGGGGUUCUGAGAGGAAGGUCCCCCACAUUGGAACUGAGACACGGUCCAAACUCCUACGGGAGCAGCAUG